This 332-nucleotide long non-coding RNA is filed under the name Androctonus crassicauda. The record is from RNAcentral. Lineage: Eukaryota; Metazoa; Arthropoda; Arachnida; Scorpiones; Buthidae.
AGCAUGUGGCCUAAUGAAUUUAGAUGUUUUAUUUUUUCAUCCAGAUUUUUUUCACAGUACUUAUAAUAGCCUGUAGCCUACGAGAUCCAGAUAUUUUUAUUUCGUUUUUUAGAUAUUUUUUGUUUCGAUUAGAGUUGGCAUCCUUAACACUUACAUCGGCCGCGCCAUUGUUGCGCUGUCCCAUCUUAAUUGAAUUCAAAUGGCGAAUCGGCAUUUGCGAUUAUUUUGUACUGUACGUUAAAUUAAUUUAAUUUCCGAAAUGCCAAAAAGAAACUGCGUGUUUACUGAUGAAUUAGACAUAGACAUAUGUUUAUUCAAAAUGAUUAAAAAAG